GCAGUGCCGCGCGGUGGCGGCAGCGAGGAGCGCAAAGGAGGCCGCGGGCGCCUGAGAGGCGGGAGCGCUGGUGUGGCGGAGGCUCUGGAGGCUGUGCCACUCGCUCGCCGUGGACCGCGCGUGGCCGGGCCGCAGUUCCUCCCGGCGGGGACCGCAGAGAUAAAGAAACUGAGGCCCAGACAGAUAUACAGCUUGUCCAUGCUCACCCAGCUCUUGAGUGGCAGAUCUGGGACUAUCUCCGGAGCUCAUGAUCUUAACCACUACUCUCAACAAAAGAGGUUGAUCCACGCAUGUUCUGUGGAUUCACUGUCUCCCUGUGCCUCCAACACUGACCACUACCUUCUUUUCCUGCUUUCAUGCCUGAUCCUCAGAACCAUCAGCAGUUUCGCAAAAUCCUCAAUUGCAGAGAAAAGGCAGCAGGGUUUCCUUCAUUUUUAUGCCAUAUGCUUUAUUAUAUUUCAAAAUUUCAAUAGUAGGAGUUACUGGUGAGUUAACUUCAUUUGCAUUUUCCAGCCUAGCUUGACCUUAUAUCCACAGAUGAAUAUCAGGGAUAGAUUGCUUGAGAACAAAAUGCAUUUCCAAAUACAUUGACUCAGUAAAGGACAGCUGGGGUGAUUUCUUCUAUUCUGCAUCUUGUAUGUUUUUUGUCAAUUAAUAUGAAGGAACAAUGUUUCUUCAGAUUGUUAUAAGCAUAGAUGUGUCAUGGCCAAAUGCUACAUCCCUCAAAUUUUAAGAAAUUUGGAUGGCAUUUAAGUGUUGGCUUUCAAACUGGAUGGCUAUCAAAGUAAGACACUUUUAUAUUAAUUUUUAGUAGCAGUAGAGUAUAAAUCAUUGAUUCCCUUUUAUAUGAUUAACUGAUGACCAUUAAUAAUAAUAGCUAAUGCAUGUUGAGUGCAUACUAUGUGUGAGGCACCAUUCCAACUACUACCAUGGAUCUGCUGAGGUAGUGUGUUACUCUGUUUAGACUGCUCUAACAACAUAUCCUAGAUUGUGUGGCUUAGACAACAGAUAUUUAUUUAUUUCAUUCAUAGCAUUUAUUUUAUUUUAAUUGACAUAUUUAUAAUUUAUGGGGUACAGUGUAAUUCCAUACAUGCGUAUAUUGUGUCAUGAUUGAGCCAGG
Long non-coding RNA from Heterocephalus glaber (naked mole-rat), 1120 nucleotides. The record is from Ensembl. NCBI's taxonomy places the organism in Eukaryota, Metazoa, Chordata, Mammalia, Rodentia, Bathyergidae.